CAUUUGUCUGCGUGCAGUGGUUUUUACAACUAAUUGAUCACAACCAGUUACAGAUUCCUUUGUUCCUUCUCCACUCUCACUGCUUCACUUGACCAGCCUUAA
This 102-nucleotide Y RNA is filed under the name Microcebus murinus (gray mouse lemur). RNAcentral's name for it is "Y RNA (ENSMICG00000046292.1)". It matches the Rfam family "Y RNA". From Rfam's summary of the family: Y RNAs are components of the Ro ribonucleoprotein particle (Ro RNP), in association with Ro60 and La proteins. The Y RNAs and Ro60 and La proteins are well conserved, but the function of the Ro RNP is not known. The record is from Rfam by way of RNAcentral. Lineage: Eukaryota; Metazoa; Chordata; Mammalia; Primates; Cheirogaleidae.